AGCUCAAUGGAUAGAGCAUCUGACUACGGAUCAGAAGGUUGGGGGUUCGAAUCCCUCGUGGC
Molecule: transfer RNA, 62 nt
Filed under: Nocardiopsis listeri
Lineage: Bacteria; Bacillati; Actinomycetota; Actinomycetes; Streptosporangiales; Nocardiopsidaceae
Description: tRNA-Arg
Rfam family: tRNA
About the family: Transfer RNA (tRNA) molecules are approximately 80 nucleotides in length. Their secondary structure includes four short double-helical elements and three loops (D, anti-codon, and T loops). Further hydrogen bonds mediate the characteristic L-shaped molecular structure. tRNAs have two regions of fundamental functional importance: the anti-codon, which is responsible for specific mRNA codon recognition, and the 3' end, to which the tRNAs corresponding amino acid is attached (by aminoacyl-tRNA synthetases). tRNAs cope with the degeneracy of the genetic code in two manners: having more than one tRNA (with a specific anti-codon) for a particular amino acid; and 'wobble' base-pairing, i.e. permitting non-standard base-pairing at the 3rd anti-codon position.
Source: RNAcentral